Cucumis melo (muskmelon) is the source of this 1479-nucleotide long non-coding RNA. RefSeq lists it as uncharacterized. Lineage: Eukaryota; Viridiplantae; Streptophyta; Magnoliopsida; Cucurbitales; Cucurbitaceae. The transcript has 9 exons. The record is from RefSeq and is a predicted model, not a curated record.
CACUAGAACAAAUAUAGGCUUUAAUGUCGGUUGGGAAAAAUGGAAAAUGAACAUUAAUGUCGGUUUUGAAAACGCGGAUGUUUAAUGUCGGUUUUCCACCGACAUUAAAGACUAAGCUUUAAUGUCGGUUUUAAACCGACAUUAAAGGUCCGCCAUUUUGAAAACCGACAUUAAAGGUCCAUUUAAUUUUUUUUAAUAAUUUUAUUUUGUGAAAAAAUAAUAGUCUCUCUCUUACUUUACUCUUUCGACCCUCUCCUACUCGCGCAAUCCCUUUUCUUCUCCAAAUGAAUUCGUCCAUUUCUUCUUCGGCGACUUUUUCUUCUCCGAUGCCCGUUCCUUCUCCGACUUUUUCUCAUUGUUUUUCUCAUCUUCUUUUCUUUUUCUGAAUCCUUCCCAUAUUCAUCCAAAGGCAUGCUCAUCCACUUUCUGUAGAGGGUUUAGGGUCGAAUCACCAUCGCUCUCUAUUUUCUCUUCUUCUUCGAUAGUUCCGUCACUCUCUUCUUAUGGAUUGUUGGUCCCUUUCUCUCCCUCUCGACGACGAGUUCAAGAAGCUCGUCAAUCGUAUGAACCCUCACAGGGUUACCAUUGAUAAUGAUUCCAUCAGAAAAGCUACUCCGAUUAAGUAAUCAGCCCUUUCGUUGCAUCAGCAAGCAGCCGAAAACCGCUGCAAAGCUCAGACACAAACACCUCGACGUCGAGCUUCUGUGCCAUCACCGGCAACAAGUCUUCAUACCCUUCAUCCACUCUACUUGAGGCCGAAUGGGGACCCCUUCGUCAUGUGCGUGUGAUCAAAGAGCGCAAUUCUGGCAUUUCACGGGGUUUUGCAUUUAUUGAUUUUCCUUCAGUGGGAGCAGCACAGACAAUGAUGGACAAGAUUGGUGAUGAUGGUUUAGUUGUAGAUGGCAGGAAGCUUUUCUUUGAGUACAGUAGUAAGCCAACGGGGGGUGCAGGAGGAUCUUUUGCUGCAGAAAAUACUACAAGAUCAGGCCAUUUUAGCAAGAACAUGACAAUGCCAUCGGAUUGGAUGUGCACAAUCUGUGGCUGUGUAAAUUUUGCACGACGAACGUCUUGUUUUCAGGCUAUCGCUGUAGUGAAGCAAGCAUUGGACGUUGACCCUACAAACUUAGAGAUGCUUCAUGCACUUGGUGUGAGUCAUGCAAAUGGGAGAUAUCACUAAACAAAUGACUGCAAUAGAAGAAAUGGUUGCAAGUGAGUACAAUUAGCCAGACCCUUAUCUUUGUGACAAGAUCUUGAAGAUGGUCAUUUGUGAAGCGUUCUAGUUUGCUAUUAGUUGCAAUUUUAGUUAUUGCUCUCUCAAUAUAUUCUUUUUCUUUCUUUCUUUCUUUUUUUCCAAAGGACGAUCAAUGUAUAAUAAUUAAGCUUCAUAACUUCUUUGUAUUUGGAGCCAAGUUGUAUAUAAAUGUACACAUUAUUAAGAUUUCAUUUUGUAUAUGUACAAGUAAAAGAUUUCAUUUUUAA